AGUAAUGCUUGGGAAUCUGGCUUAUGGAGGGGGAUAACUACGGGAAACUGUAGCUAAUACCGCGUAGAAUCGGAAGAUGAAAGUGCGGGACCGCGAGGCCGCAUGCCAUGAGAUGAGCCCAAGUGGGAUUAGGUAGUUGGUGGGGUAAAGGCCUACCAAGCCUGCGAUCUCUAGCUGGUCUGAGAGGAUGGCCAGCCACACUGGAACUGAGACACGGUCCAG
RNAcentral lists this ribosomal RNA (222 nucleotides) under uncultured bacterium. RNAcentral's name for it is "partial 16S ribosomal RNA". It matches the Rfam family "Bacterial small subunit ribosomal RNA", at positions 109 to 334 of the family's 1533-position model. The record is from RNAcentral.